CGGAGGGAUCAUUACUGAGUUUACGCUCUACAACCCUUUGUGAACAUACCUAUAACUGUUGCUUCGGCGGGUAGGGUCUCCGCGACCCUCCCGGCCUCCCGCCUCCGGGCGGGUCGGCGCCCGCCGGAGGAUAACCAAACUCUGAUUUAACGACGUUUCUUCUGAGUGGUACAAGCAAAUAAUCAAAACUUUUAACAACGGAUCUCUUGGUUCUGGCAUCGAUGAAGAACGCAGCGAAAUGCGAUAAGUAAUGUGAAUUGCAGAAUUCAGUGAAUCAUCGAAUCUUUGAACGCACAUUGCGCCCGCCAGCAUUCUGGCGGGCAUGCCUGUUCGAGCGUCAUUUCAACCCUCAAGCUCUGCUUGGUGUUGGGGCCCUACAGCUGAUGUAGGCCCUCAAAGGUAGUGGCGGACCCUCUCGGAGCCUCCUUUGCGUAGUAACUUUACGUCUCGCACUGGGAUCCGGAGGGACUCUUGCCGUAAAACCCCCAAUUUUCCAAAGGUUGACCUCGGAUCAGGUAGGAAUACCCGCUGAACUUAAGCAUAUCA
This 546-nucleotide ribosomal RNA is filed under the name Colletotrichum sp. GM291. RNAcentral describes it as "eukaryotic LSU rRNA". The stretch from base 187 to 340 matches the Rfam family "5.8S ribosomal RNA". The record is from RNAcentral. Lineage: Eukaryota; Fungi; Ascomycota; Sordariomycetes; Glomerellales; Glomerellaceae.